This is a long non-coding RNA of Brassica rapa (field mustard), 1876 nucleotides long. RefSeq lists it as uncharacterized. NCBI's taxonomy places the organism in Eukaryota, Viridiplantae, Streptophyta, Magnoliopsida, Brassicales, Brassicaceae. The record is from RefSeq and is a predicted model, not a curated record.
AAAUCCACUUUUUUUUCUUGAAUCUACAAUGUUUAGAAUACGUGAUCUACGUAAAUAAGAGUAUUCUAAAAAUAUUUAGAAUACACAUUCCGUGCUAAACCUACCGAUCUAAAAUUUUUAGAAAUCAAAAUCUACACAUUAAUAUAAAUCUACAACUCGUAGAAACCGACUUCAACAUAUUUACUGUAAAUCUAAAACAUGUAGAAAUCAAAAUCUACAUAUUACUAUAAUUUUUAAAACCUGUAGAAAUCGACUUCUACAAAUUAGUUGUAUUCUACGGAUAAAAAAUCAGUUCCUAAAAAUAUGGAAAUAAAAUAUUUGGAAAUAUUCACUUUCAUAUUUUGAAAAAAAAAAUCGAUUUUUUAUAAAAAAAACAAAAAAAAACCAAAAAAAUUACAAAUUUAAGGGCAUUAUUACCAUUUUAAAAAUAGUUAGCCUAAUGAGACAUAAAGUAUAUGAGAUUAGUCUAAUGGAACAUAGUUAUCAUUUUUUUGCUCUAAAAAACAAUUUUCCCAAUAAAAUAAGAGGACACAUGAGGUUGGUCGGAAUCCCUUUGAAUGGCGUUUAAGGACUUUGGUGAAAAAAGAGUGGAACGGGUCCUAAUGACUUUGGUCUUCCUUUUUCCUGUUUCUUAAUCCCCGUUUGUGUAAAAGUCCAACAUUCCUAACGUGACGUUCCAAUUAUAUAUCUUUUUAUUUUGUCGGUGUCAUCCGUUAUUUAUUAUUUACAAGGAUUUGCACCCAAAAAAAUAGUACAUUGAUUUGGUUAUUAAAAAAUUAAUAUCAACCCUCCAUCUUUGAAAGUUAUUUGUGCUUAUCGUAUCUACUUAAACGGGACCGAUAUUUGAAAAUUAUAUACAGCUAACCAGAUUUGUAUCCCUCGUUUUAAUAAAGCAUUUUUAAGAAAUGAAUUCAACUAAACUUUAUCACGUUUUUAGCUUUAGUUAACAAACUGGUCUAUACCAACUAAUUUAAAAUAUAACAUUUAACUCUUAUAAUUGUUUCGUAUCAGAAGUUAACAUUUUAUAGUUUUAAGGAUCAAGCAAUUGGUACGGAUACACUAAUGUAUAGUUGACUCUGAAGAAUAUAAGAGCAUGAUCGACGCAAUAUACUUCCAUUGUAGUUUGAAGUGGUUUAUGGUGCAGAAGUGGACACCUAACUUUAGAGGUUAGAUCUCGGUUAUAAAUGUCUACAUAAAAAAAGAAGAAGGUGUAGUUUAGUAAUUGGUUGGAUUUUUAAGGAAUGUAAAAGCAAAAGAAAAUUUAUAAUCACACGUCGAAGACUUAGAAUACUACAGUAAGAAAAUUAUCGACAGUAAUUAUUAUAUUUUGAGUCAAACUAUAAUGACAUCCAACUGGAUAAAAGUAAUUUUAUGUUUGUCAACAGUGAAAGUAAUUUAUGGGUUUAGUUUAUAUAUAAACAUUAAACUUUAAACCCUAUAAUUUCAUAUGUAACCAAUAACACCCAAUCAUACUCCUUAUAUUUCAAUUAUUUGAUUCUUAAGGUUUUAACAAGUUGAUUAUAAAAAUAUGAAAUUUAUUUUAGUUUAUUUCUUGUACACUUUUUAUAUUAGUUUAUUUCUUGUACACAAAACAUCAUUAACUAAAACAAAUUCAACUAAUAAAGAGUACACUGCAUAAUAGUCAUAAAAAAACAAAUGUAACUUUAAUAUUUUGUAAAUAAAUUUGAAAACAUCAUUUUGUUAAAAAAAAAUAAAAAAUUUAAAAACAUCAUUUAAAAUAAAAUUUUAAAAUUUCCUAAAACAUCAAUUAUAUUAAAACGGAUGGAGCAUUAUACUCCAAAGUCUUGCAUUUUUGAAGAUUCAAAAAAAAAAAAGAACUCCCUGGUUAGACACUUAUAGGUGAAGAGAGAACAAA